Molecule: ribosomal RNA, 844 nt
Filed under: bacterium RSD-1-8
Lineage: Bacteria
Description: bacterial SSU rRNA
Rfam family: Bacterial small subunit ribosomal RNA
Source: RNAcentral
GAACGCUGGCGGCGUGCUUAACACAUGCAAGUCGAACGAUGAUCCCAGCUUGCUGGGGGAUUAGUGGCGAACGGGUGAGUAACACGUGAGUAACCUGCCCUUGACUCUGGGAUAAGCCUGGGAAACUGGGUCUAAUACCGGAUACGACCAUCUGGCGCAUGUCAUGGUGGUGGAAAGCUUUUGUGGUUUUGGAUGGACUCGCGGCCUAUCAGCUUGUUGGUGGGGUAAUGGCCUACCAAGGCGACGACGGGUAGCCGGCCUGAGAGGGUGACCGGCCACACUGGGACUGAGACACGGCCCAGACUCCUACGGGAGGCAGCAGUGGGGAAUAUUGCACAAUGGGCGCAAGCCUGAUGCAGCGACGCCGCGUGAGGGAUGACGGCCUUCGGGUUGUAAACCUCUUUCAGUAGGGAAGAAGCGAAAGUGACGGUACCUGCAGAAGAAGCGCCGGCUAACUACGUGCCAGCAGCCGCGGUAAUACGUAGGGCGCAAGCGUUAUCCGGAAUUAUUGGGCGUAAAGAGCUCGUAGGCGGUUUGUCGCGUCUGCUGUGAAAGACCGGGGCUCAACUCCGGUUCUGCAGUGGGUACGGGCAGACUAGAGUGCAGUAGGGGAGACUGGAAUUCCUGGUGUAGCGGUGAAAUGCGCAGAUAUCAGGAGGAACACCGAUGGCGAAGGCAGGUCUCUGGGCUGUAACUGACGCUGAGGAGCGAAAGCAUGGGGAGCGAACAGGAUUAGAUACCCUGGUAGUCCAUGCCGUAAACGUUGGGCACUAGGUGUGGGGGACAUUCCACGUUUUCCGCGCCGUAGCUAACGCAUUAAGUGCCCCGCCUGGGGAGUACGGCC